Aegilops tauschii subsp. strangulata is the source of this 823-nucleotide long non-coding RNA. RefSeq lists it as uncharacterized. The record is from RefSeq and is a predicted model, not a curated record. Lineage: Eukaryota; Viridiplantae; Streptophyta; Magnoliopsida; Poales; Poaceae.
ACGUGGCGCCGUGGCGAGAUCCGGCCGGGCGCCACGUCACUGAAUCCCUCUCCCGGCGCGGCAGAUCUGGCCGGCGUACGGUAGGUGUCGGCCCGCCUCCGAUCCGCCCCAGCGCCCCCGCGGCCAGGCGGGCAGAGGGUUUCGCUCCCCCGGGGCGGCCAGAUCUCGCGCGGCGGCAAGCAGAUCUGGGCCGAUUCCCCGCCUAGAGAGGUCGGAGGGGAUGGCGCUCUCCAGGAUGCGGGGGCUGUCGGUCUUCAUCGGCAACAUCCGCAACUGCCACAACAAGGAGCAGGAGCGCCUCCGCAUCGACAAGGAGCUCCGCAACAUCCGCACCCGCUUCAAGAACAAAAAGAGGAGGAAGCAAACUUGCUGAAGCAUGAAGAGAAACAAGAAAGAUUGAAGUGAAAGGAUUGAUUUCAUUGAUAGUGACUGCAGGUACUUAUAUGUCCUGAGCCGUCGUGUUUACAUGCCGGUUACAAGGUUCGCGUCGUUUCGGAAAGACACGGCGCUGGUUUGGAAAGACAUGACGAUGGUUCGCUAUCUACUGCGUCGGGACAACGCCAGGAUUCUAACCACCGGUUAGAAUAUUCUAAGGAAUCUGAUAAUCACCUAAUUAGCCAAAUACUAAUACUAUUAGAUUCCUAACACUCCCCCUUGGACAGCGUUGUUUUAAUCUUCAGUGUCUUGAGGAUCUACAUAUAUCUUGAGUAUCAAAAGCCUUGCGUCUUCUUGAUAGUCCUUGAUCUUGUAACUUUGAGAAUCUUUAAUCUCGUACUAUUUAUGUCCCUGUAGGAAAUAUAAUAGAAACUAUAGAAAUUUGAUA